Molecule: non-coding RNA, 1747 nt
Organism: Camellia sinensis
Lineage: Eukaryota; Viridiplantae; Streptophyta; Magnoliopsida; Ericales; Theaceae
Source: RefSeq, a predicted model, not a curated record
GUUAGAUAGUACAAUUGUGAAACUACGAAAAUGAGCUUCAUAAAGAAUUAUACUAGACUGUUAUUAGAAGGUCCUUUAUCUCAACUGUCCUCAUGUCCCAUACAUAUCAUCUCUCUAUAAUACAAUAGGUCUUAUAGAUCUAAACAUGAUUUUUUUAUAUUUUUUGAAAAGAAAGAUUAGAUUAAAAACAUUCAUUUCUCUUCAUUCACCUAGUAAGAUUAGAUUUCUCUGACAUGUGAUGUGAUGAAAAUUGAUUGUUAUAUUGCAUAAUUUGGUGUGUGUCUAAUCUUAAGCAGGUCAGACACUGUUUGAGGUAAGUUAAGCUUUGCUGAAAGUGCAGGCUGGUUGCUGGUGUGUUGAAAGGGUCUGAGAGCUGCUGGUGCUUUGUUUACUGGUUGUGUUGAGUGUACUUAUGAUCUCCUUUUGUUUGUUGGUAGUUGUUGUUUGUAGAUUUUUCUGGUUUUGGUUGUGCUGUUUGGUUGGUGACUCUCCAACCUUGGCAGUGUGCUAGCAAAUGAUUGGGCUCGUAUGGUGGUGCCAACCUAGUCAGGAUUGCUAUAUCGGGCUGUGAUGCCUCGAUAAAGAUUCUUUUUAGUUGUUAUAAUCAAUAAAGAUUCUUUUGCUGAUCCAAAAAAAGAAGAAAAAGAAAUCAUUUAUUUUUCUGACUCUUUGGAGGUGGAAUGCCCUGCUUUGAUCUCAAUACUUGCAACACUUGCUCACUAGAUCUGUUUGUGUAUUUACAUGUGUAUUGAUGUAUUUGGGCUUCUUUCUCAUUGGUUCUCUCUGUUGGUAAUUUAGUUGACUGACAAAUGUUUUCCAGGUCAAUCUGAGAACCCUGAAGUUAAUGCAGAAAGGUCAAAUGCUCAGCUUGACACAGGAGUUGGUAUGGGAAAUUAGACGAUGAACAUGAGGUGGUUUUUGGCCUUUCUUUCCUACAGCAGGAAACUAUUCCUUCUUUGGAAACAAAUUCAAAUGAGAGUCAUAUUGAUCAGCUUGGAAGUGGUGGAGAAUGCUCAAGCCCUUUAGAUGGACCAAUCAAAAGUGGAUCAUCAAUUUCUGUUAUCUGUACUAGUUCAAAGCCUGAUUUUUCAAAGUUAAAGGGUGAAAUAUGUUUGGACAACCUAUCAGUUAGGGAACUUCAUGAAACCUUUAAAGCAACAUUUGGACGGGAAACUUCUGUCAAGGACAAACAGUGGCUGAGGAGGAGGAUUGCCAUGGGAUUGGCCAACUCUUGUGAUGUUCCAACUAUAACUUUUGUGAUUAAAGAUAACAAAGUGGUGAAGAAAGGUAAAGAAGAAAGCUUUAAGAGUGUAGAUCAUACCCCUGCUAAGGUUCUGUCAGUUGGAGUGAAUGAAAACUGUGGAGGUUCACCAAUUGGAUGAAAUAACCAAAUAGAAAAUCCUCAAUAUCUUUGUGGCAAGAUAUUGACAGAUCCUAGUUUAGAAUAUGAUUGUAGUGUUGAAGAUUUGAACAUUGAACAGAGAGCAGCAAAAAGAGUUCGGAAUGGAAGAAGCAAGCGAAUGUGUGAAGCCAUCUAAGGGUAACUUUCAUGCUACUGCUGCAUGAAUGUAUAUAUUGGGAAUGUAAAGUUUAGUAUGUAGCUUUUACCUUGUUAUCUUGCAGACAGUCUUGCUAUUUUUUUGGUGGGGAAGGUUAAGUUGAUUCUGUAACUUCUGUGUCUGUCUCUCUUUGUACUUGACACGAUUGUAAAGAAAUAAAGUUGUCUUGUAAUGUUUAUGAUUGAUGA